AACGAACGCUGGCGGCAUGCCUAACACAUGCAAGUCGAACGAGACCUUCGGGUCUAGUGGCGCACGGGUGCGUAACGCGUGGGAAUCUGCCCUUAGGUACGGAAUAACUCAGGGAAACUUGAGCUAAUACCGUAUAAUGACUUCGGUCCAAAGAUUUAUCGCCUAAGGAUGAGCCCGCGUCGGAUUAGCUAGUUGGUGAGGUAAAAGCUCACCAAGGCGACGAUCCGUAGCUGGCUGAGAGGAUGAUCAGCCACACUGGGACUGAGACACGGCCCAGACUCCUACGGGAGGCAGCAGUGGGGAAGU
Molecule: ribosomal RNA, 306 nt
Filed under: uncultured bacterium
Lineage: Bacteria
Description: bacterial SSU rRNA
Rfam family: Bacterial small subunit ribosomal RNA
Source: RNAcentral